This 559-nucleotide ribosomal RNA is filed under the name uncultured eukaryote. RNAcentral's name for it is "SSU rRNA". It matches the Rfam family "Eukaryotic small subunit ribosomal RNA", at positions 4 to 567 of the family's 1831-position model. The record is from RNAcentral.
CUGGUUGAUCCUGCCAGUAGUCAUAUGCUUWGUCUCAAAGAUUAAGCCAUGCAUGUCUAAGUAUAAGCAAUUUAUACAGUGAGACUGCGAAUGGCUCAUUAAAUCAGUUAUCGUUUAUUUGAUAGUACCUUACUACUUGAAUAACCGUGGUAAUUCUAGAGCUAAUACAUGCUUAAAAUCCCGACUGUUUGGAAGGGAUGUAUUUAUUAGAUAAAAAAUCAAUGUCUUCGGACUCUUUGAUGAUUCAUAAUAACUUUUCGAAUCGCAUGGCCUUGUGCUGGCGAUGGUUCAUUCAAAUUUCUGCCCUAUCAACUUUCGAUGGUAGGAUAGUGGCCUACCAUGGUUUCAACGGGUAACGGGGAAUAAGGGUUCGAUUCCGGAGAGGGAGCCUGAGAAACGGCUACCACAUCCAAGGAAGGCAGCAGGCGCGCAAAUUCCCCAAUCCCGACACGGGGAGGUAGUGACAAUAAAUAACGAUACAGGGCCCUUUCGGGUCUUGUAAUUGGAAUGAGUACAAUGUAAAUACCUUAACGAGGAACAAUUGGAGGGCAAGUCUGGU